Haplochromis burtoni (Burton's mouthbrooder) is the source of this 857-nucleotide long non-coding RNA. RefSeq lists it as uncharacterized. NCBI's taxonomy places the organism in Eukaryota, Metazoa, Chordata, Actinopteri, Cichliformes, Cichlidae. The transcript has 3 exons. The record is from RefSeq and is a predicted model, not a curated record.
GUGUGUGGUUCUCCCGUGGCUCCUGGUGUAUUAGUUUCCCCCAGUUGAAUUUGCAUUGUUUUGUAUCACCUUUACUUCUGCUCAGCAAAUAAAGCUGCAUUUUUGAGUCAAGUUCCCAUUUUGAGCUCUAUCCAGGAGAAAGGGACUGCUGCCAAGAGCACGAUGAAAGGCUGCAUAAUUUUGUCUCCGGGUUAUAAACCACACCGCCUGUUCCUUUGUCUCUCUUCCCUGAGGUCUGGUGUGUGAGCAGGUAAGUCUUACUACAGCUAUGAGGUCAUGCAACCGGCUUCGACUGGAUCUCUGGCUAGCACACCUGCUCUCCCUCGGCUUAUCAGCCAGCUGCAUAUUUAAGAGUCGUUCACUCAACAUCAGGUUAUACUGCUUCAGUAGUGCUAACAGCUUCCAGCCCAGCUUAGCGUCUUUGCGUCUGGUCUCCUCUUUAAUAUUCUCCAGUGGGCUCAGCUCUGGAACAGCCCCCUCUGCUGCACUCCAUCCAUCAUCAACAAAGUUCUCCCACUAGUUUUGUUCUUCAUCUGUAUGCUAAACGAUUCCAGUAACUUAUCACGUAAUUGUUAUAGGGUAACUGUCUGUUUAUGACUUUGUAAAUUAUCUAAACCUUCACUGUCACAUUUGCAGGUAGAAAAAAGCAGUAUCACCUGCUCUAUAAGAUUUUGCCACAAAAUGUAUUGCUAUAAUGUGUUAAGUGUAUUUUUAAUUCCUCUUGAAGAUGUAGUGCUAUCUCGUGAAAUUCAGUGUGUAUCGAUUACAUUUUUCAUGUAAAUUACCAAACCUUGCUCUUCAGUUUAUGAGCUACGGAAGAAUGUCCUCUUUUUUUUUUUUUUGUCUCUCAUAAAAUU